Molecule: ribosomal RNA, 763 nt
Filed under: uncultured Prevotella sp.
Lineage: Bacteria; Pseudomonadati; Bacteroidota; Bacteroidia; Bacteroidales; Prevotellaceae
Description: bacterial SSU rRNA
Rfam family: Bacterial small subunit ribosomal RNA
Source: RNAcentral
GAUGAACGCUGGCUACAGGCUUAACACAUGCAAGUCGAGGGGAAACGGCGUUGAGUGCUCGCACUCUUCGGACGUCGACCGGCGCACGGGUGAGUAACGCGUAUCCAACCUUCCCGUCACUGCGGGAUAACCUGCCGAAAGGCAGACUAAUACCGCAUGGCCUUCACUGACGGCAUCAGAGGUGAAGUAAAGCUUUUUAGCGGUGACGGACGGGGAUGCGUCUGAUUAGCUGGUUGGCGGGGCGACGGCCCACCAAGGCUACGAUCAGUAGGGGUUCUGAGAGGAAGGUCCCCCACAUUGGAACUGAGACACGGUCCAAACUCCUACGGGAGGCAGCAGUGAGGAAUAUUGGUCAAUGAGCGGAAGCCUGAACCAGCCAAGUAGCGUGCAGGAUGACGGCCCUACGGGUUGUAAACUGCUUUUAUGCGGGGAUAAAGUGAGGGACGUGUCCCUUUUUGCAGGUACCGCAUGAAUAAGGACCGGCUAAUUCCGUGCCAGCAGCCGCGGUAAUACGGAAGGUCCGGGCGUUAUCCGGAUUUAUUGGGUUUAAAGGGAGCGUAGGCCGGGGAUUAAGUGUGUUGUGAAAUGUAGGCGCUCAACGUCUGAUGUGCAGCGCAUACUGGUUCCCUUGAGUACGCGCAACGCCGGCGGAAUUCGUCGUGUAGCGGUGAAAUGCUUAGAUAUGACGAAGAACCCCGAUUGCGAAGGCAGCCGGCGGGAGCGCAACUGACGCUGAAGCUCGUAGGUGCGGGUAUCGAACAGG